AUCAGUGGCGAACGGGUGAGUAACACGUGAGCAAUCUGCCCUUGACUCUGGGAUAACUGCGGGAAACUGUAGCUAAUACCGGAUAUUACCUUGGAAGGCAUCUUCUGGGGUGGAAAGAAUUUCGGUCAGGGAUGGACUCGCGGCCUAUCAGCUAGUUGGUGAGGUAAUGGCCCACCAAGGCGACGACGGGUAGCCGGCCUGAGAGGGUGACCGGCCACACUGGGACUGAGACACGGCCCAGACUCCUACGGGAGGCAGCAGUGGGGAAUAUUGCACAAUGGGCGCAAGCCUGAUGCAGCAACGCCGCGUGAGGGACGACGGCCUUCGGGUUGUAAACCUCUUUUAGUAGGGAAGAAGCGAAGUGUUUUACAUGGAGUGACGGUACCUGCAGAAAAAGCACCGGCUAACUACGUGCCAGCAGCCGCGGUAAUACGUAGGGUGCAAGCGUUAUCCGGAAUUAUUGGGCGUAAAGAGCUCGUAGGCGG
This 485-nucleotide ribosomal RNA is filed under the name uncultured Microbacteriaceae bacterium. RNAcentral describes it as "bacterial SSU rRNA". It matches the Rfam family "Bacterial small subunit ribosomal RNA", at positions 91 to 578 of the family's 1533-position model. The record is from RNAcentral. Lineage: Bacteria; Bacillati; Actinomycetota; Actinomycetes; Micrococcales; Microbacteriaceae.